RNAcentral lists this ribosomal RNA (472 nucleotides) under uncultured bacterium. RNAcentral describes it as "bacterial SSU rRNA". It matches the Rfam family "Bacterial small subunit ribosomal RNA", at positions 355 to 825 of the family's 1533-position model. The record is from RNAcentral.
UGGGGAAUAUUGGACAAUGGGCGAAAGCCUGAUCCAGCCAUGCCGCGUGUGUGAAGAAGGUCUUCGGAUUGUAAAGCACUUUAAGUUGGGAGGAAGGGCAGUUACCUAAUACGUGAUUGUUUUGACGUUACCGACAGAAUAAGCACCGGCUAACUCUGUGCCAGCAGCCGCGGUAAUACAGAGGGUGCAAGCGUUAAUCGGAAUUACUGGGCGUAAAGCGCGCGUAGGUGGUUAGUUAAGUUGGAUGUGAAAUCCCCGGGCUCAACCUGGGAACUGCAUUCAAAACUGACAAGCUAGAGUACGGUAGAGGGUGGUGGAAUUUCCUGUGUAGCGGUGAAAUGCGUAGAUAUAGGAAGGAACACCAGUGGCGAAGGCGACCACCUGGACUGAUACUGACACUGAGGUGCGAAAGCGUGGGGAGCAAACAGGAUUAGAUACCCCAGUAGUCCCUGAGCGGGCUGGCAAGGCGCAU